Molecule: long non-coding RNA, 1295 nt
Filed under: Astyanax mexicanus (Mexican tetra)
Lineage: Eukaryota; Metazoa; Chordata; Actinopteri; Characiformes; Acestrorhamphidae
Description: lncRNA (ENSAMXG00005012719.1)
Source: RNAcentral
AUCAACAUAUCUGAAAAAAUAAGGCAUCCCAGAAGUUAUUCAGUUUCUAUUUCUGUACAACAAUCCUCUUUUUUAUUGAAGACCGAGGGCCUAUCAGUGACCAUAAAGAUCACGUUAGUCACUCAUUACCUUUUCCAUACGUGAAAUGUUGCAACAGAGAACCAGGAACCAGACUAUAAAGCUGUAAAACGAUACAGAAUGCACCUUGGCACGUUCCUAUGCUGUGGUUCAAAUUGCUCCUCUAUUGAAGCGCAGGGAGGAGGCCACUAAACGGAGAGUUCUGGGAAAAGGGUGUGUCCAAGGUGAUGGUAUAAAUCAGCUGUGUUGGACAGGCACACAUCCACUAAACGCCAUUAACGGACCCUUAGAGACCCUCACAGCUGACUUAUCGCACUCCAGUUAAUCCUUCUGGACCUUCUGUUCUCUACCACAACAUGAUGUUUCUGACUGCUGGUUUCUGUCUUCUGGCCAUGGUGGCCUCCUCCAUGGCACAGGAAUCAAGCAACACUACGGUGGCAUUAAACAGCACAACAGUAGGACCGACUACUGGCAACGUAACCGCUGUGCUGCCUGUAACAAACGCCACUGUAUCUGCAAACAGCACCACGGUUGCUGCUAACGCCACCACGGUACCAUCCAACGCCACUACGGUACCAUCCAACAUCACCACUGUACCAUCCAACGUUACAACAGUUCCAUCUAACACCACUACAGUGCCAUCCAACGCCACCACGAUUCCAUCCAAUGCCACCACGGUGCCAUCCAACAUCACCACCACGCUCGGACCCAACGUCACCACUGUGAUUACCGCCACAACGCCUUCCGGCAGUCCUGACCUUCAGUCUACCCUACUACCGAUCCUUCUCCCCGCCCUGUAUCUGCUGUGGAACCGAUCAUAACCUGGUUCAGGUGAUGAACCAACCACAGACUCUACAUCACCGUGAAGAUCUCACCCUCUUUACCGCCAUUUAUAGACUUCUUACUGGUCUCGGACCUGUGAUCGUCCGGCCCGGUGCUCAGGAGCAUUGAAUUAUACGUAACUGGGCCACGAAGCUCACUCUGCGAACGCAGUUUUUUUUUUUUUAUUAUUACUUAAGAUGAUGAAGUUUUUGGUCGGCAAGAUCAAGACUGAAUUGCACAAAACAGAUUUGUUCCCCUUUAAUUUGUAGCACUGAUUAAAAAAAUAUAUUUAUACGUUUGUCUUUGUUAAAGACGUAUCCGUGGAUGUCACCUUCAUUUUUGUAUAUGUUGUUUAAUAUGUAGUAAUAAAAAAAUAAAUAAAUAAAUUAACUACA